GUGGGUAUAGCUCAGUGGUAGAGUGCAUGCUUAGCAUGCAUGAGGUCCUGGGUUCAAUCCCCAUACCUCCA
This 71-nucleotide transfer RNA is filed under the name Camelus bactrianus (Bactrian camel). It matches the Rfam family "tRNA". From Rfam's summary of the family: Transfer RNA (tRNA) molecules are approximately 80 nucleotides in length. Their secondary structure includes four short double-helical elements and three loops (D, anti-codon, and T loops). The record is from Rfam by way of RNAcentral. RNAcentral also lists the same sequence under 2 other names. Lineage: Eukaryota; Metazoa; Chordata; Mammalia; Artiodactyla; Camelidae.